AUACCUGGAAACCACGCAGAUGUCCCUCAGUAGGUAAAGCUCCAAUGAUAAACCAGAUCAGUGCAGGACCUGAGUCAGUCUACUGGGCUCCGCUCCCCCUGCCCCUGCGAUCUCGGAGGAACCUGGUGCUCUGCUGCUGCCCAAGACCAGAGAAGCUCCAUAUUCACCGGUCUCGGCCGUAGGGCGCUCCUGGAGCUCCGGGAUCUCGGCCUGAAACUCGCUUCCUAUCCUGAUGUGUCUGAAAUGAGGCCACACACAAGACAUACACAUGUGACUAAGAUGGGAAAUAAGACGGAGAUGUGUGACGUGCCCUGCUCUCAGGCCACAACCCUGCUCUCUGGAAACCUCUAUCAUCUCCCAGAUGCAUCUGGGGAGUAUUUGUAACCCCUGACAGACAUGGACAAGUGUUCUAGAUACCGUCCAGCUACACCCCCUUUGUCCAAUUUCCUUUUUCACCAGGCUUCUCCCUCAGGUGCCCCUCUAGGGGUCCAGGACAGGGGAGGUGUCUGCUGAUGCCUGGCAUGCUUCUACACCCAUGGCCACAUCCCUCUAGUCACAUUCCAUGGAUACUCAAGUCUCACACGUGCCAUCACCAAUUUUACCUAGAUCCCCAGGGGACUGGGCACUUGUCCCAGUGGGCCCAACUAUGGGAUGCUCAGAUAGAAGGAAUAUUGUAGGAACUUCCCACAUACACCCAGAGUAAUCUACCACUUCUCUCCCACAGAGUAGCUAACCCCCC
This is a long non-coding RNA of Manis pentadactyla (Chinese pangolin), 739 nucleotides long. RefSeq lists it as uncharacterized. Lineage: Eukaryota; Metazoa; Chordata; Mammalia; Pholidota; Manidae. The transcript is spliced from 3 exons. The record is from RefSeq and is a predicted model, not a curated record.